UGGGGAAUUUUGGACAAUGGGGGAAACCCUGAUCCAGCCAUCCCGCGUGUGCGAUGAAGGCCUUCGGGUUGUAAAGCACUUUUGGCAGGAAAGAAACGUCAUGGGUUAAUACCCCGUGAAACUGACGGUACCUGCAGAAUAAGCACCGGCUAACUACGUGCCAGCAGCCGCGGUAAUACGUAGGGUGCAAGCGUUAAUCGGAAUUACUGGGCGUAAAGCGUGCGCAGGCGGUUCGGAAAGAAAGAUGUGAAAUCCCAGAGCUCAACUUUGGAACUGCAUUUUUAACUACCGGGCUAGAGUGUGUCAGAGGGAGGUGGAAUUCCGCGUGUAGCAGUGAAAUGCGUAGAUAUGCGGAGGAACACCGAUGGCGAAGGCAGCCUCCUUGGAUAACACUGACGCUCAUGCACGAAAGCGUGGGGAGCAAACAGG
Molecule: ribosomal RNA, 429 nt
Filed under: Acidobacteriota bacterium
Lineage: Bacteria; Pseudomonadati; Acidobacteriota
Description: Acidobacteria bacterium partial 16S ribosomal RNA
Rfam family: Bacterial small subunit ribosomal RNA
Source: RNAcentral